Molecule: unclassified non-coding RNA, 179 nt
Filed under: uncultured fungus
Lineage: Eukaryota; Fungi
Description: sequence contains ITS1
Rfam family: 5.8S ribosomal RNA (bases 1-107)
About the family: 5.8S ribosomal RNA (5.8S rRNA) is a component of the large subunit of the eukaryotic ribosome. It is transcribed by RNA polymerase I as part of the 45S precursor that also contains 18S and 28S rRNA.
Source: RNAcentral
GAAAUGCGAUACUUGGUGUGAAUUGCAGAAUCCCGUGAACCAUCGAGUCUUUGAACGCAAGUUGCGCCCGAAGCCAUUAGGCCGAGGGCACGCCUGCCUGGGUGUCACACAUCGUUUCCCCAACGCAAACAAAGUAUCGCAUUUCGCUGCGUUCUUAAUCGAUGCGAUGGAAGCAAGCU